Arvicola amphibius (Eurasian water vole) is the source of this 1126-nucleotide RNA transcript. It is a transcript of the gene named protein EOLA1-like, with no coding region annotated. The record is from RefSeq and is a predicted model, not a curated record. Lineage: Eukaryota; Metazoa; Chordata; Mammalia; Rodentia; Cricetidae. The transcript is spliced from 5 exons.
GAUUAUGGGCACAGGAUGUGGAUUCGUCUCUGCGAGCGUUCAUCUGUUUAAAGCAGUUAGAGUUAAAAAGUCCCAGAACACUGGACGGCACCAGCCAAAUGCUUUCCUUCCUUUCAAGCCAAUGUUAGCCACCCAUGCUUAGGAGCCUUUGGUACUGGAGGCCUCCUGGAACGCUGAAAAGCGGAAGACUGCUGUAAACUGGAGUCUGCUGAGUGCUAAGCGGUAACACUGAAGAGACCCACAACAAAGGACAGGCGCAAAGACUCUGAGGAAAAUGAAGUUUCCCUGCCUCUCCUUCCGGCAGCCCUAUGCUGGUUUAAUCUUAAAUGGAGUCAAGACUCUUGAGACCCGUUGGCGUCCCUUGUUGAGGAACCAUCAGAAAUGUACCAUCGCCAUCCAUAUUGCUUACAGGGACUGGGAAGAUGAUGCCUGGCAGCAGGUGCUGGUAGAGAGGUUGGGAAUGACCCUGGCGCAGAUUCAGACCUUACUACAGGAAGGAGAAAAAUAUGGCCGAGGUGUGAUAGCUGGACUUGUUGACAUUGGAGAGACUUUGCACUGUCCAGAAACCUUAGCUGCUGAUGAGGUUGUCGAACUGGAAACCCAAGCUGUGAUAACCAAUGUGCAGCAGAAGUACCUGACUCCGAUUUCAAACCCCAGAUGGUUACUAGAGCCCAUACCUAGAAAAGGGGGGAAAGAUGUAUUCCAGGUGGACAUCCCAGAGCACCUGAUCCCUUUGGGGAAGGGUUGGAGCAGUGAAUGCUCUGAAGAACAGUGUCAGGAAAACUAAAUAAUGGCCCUGUCAUUAGUCCAUCAGAGAAUAAACCUCUAAAUGUCAGGGGGACUCUAAGCCCCUACUGCCAUGCAGGCUACAUCCCACUCUGUGCUAUUGCCAGACCCAGACUGCUCCCAUUUCAGAUUUAACAUGUUUUUUUCUCCAAAUGUUCUUUAAAGCCCUCUCCUGGGUCAAACCAUCAGGCUGGCCCUCUGGCUCUGUGACAGGAAAAAAGGAGAACAGAACAGCCUAAAAGCCACCAUAAACUACCUAUGACCCCAGCUUUUCACUUAAAAAGACCCAUAGUAUCUGACAGACUUCUCUAUGAAGCAGGAAAUUUGAAGAUCUGCCUUG